UUGUGCAUGGGAGGGAAAGAGGGAGGAAAAGAGGAAUGAAGGAGGGAGGGAUGUGCACAGGAGGGAGGGUUCGCGAAGAAAGGGGGAAUGGAGGAGGGAGGCACGGAGGAGGCAAGCCGGAGGGGUAGGCAGGAGAGGAAGAGAAGAAAGGGGGCAUAAGAGGAAGCAGCACGGAUGGGUGGAGGGGCAGCGAGAGAAGAGCGGGGUUCCUGCCUUCCACUUGGCAUCCCUGUGCUCCUCUAGGCUUGUGGAGAUGGCUCUUUGAUGGGCUGACAGCCUCUGCGAUGGACCUAAGGGUAGCUUGGCAGGGUAUAAUCUGGGUUCCUCCUCCUUCCACUGUCUCUCUGAGCAUCUUUCUGGGUGUGCAGUCUUCUUUUUACUUGUUUUCAAGAAAAAAAGUUCCUGACCAGCCCAGCACUUCCCAGCCACACACACAAGUUAUCCAUUAUUUGCCAAUUCUGCUAUUUAGCGUCUGGGGAGAGGAUGCUUGUGCCAAUAGCUGUGUUGCAGUUUGGGAAGAACCUAUCAAGCUUGCUGAUCUUCUUCAUCAAGUGUCUGAUCUUCUAAUUCCCCAGAAGAAGACCCAAAAAUCUGAAGAAUGUGCCUGCAAUGUGACUUAUCAGCAGAUACCAAACACACUCCAGAAAAGUACCACUGAAAGUAUCACUUUAGCAUGAACAAACCUGCCCUGCCUACAGAUUUUUUUAGCUCAUAUUUACUCUUAGUGAAGGAACACAGUAGAGUCAGCAGUGAGUGCAAGUGAUCUCACUGGCCAAGAAAGCCUAACUCCUCAUGCCCUUGCUCCCUCUCUUAUCCAUGUAUUCCUGUCUCCCCCAGCACCCAUCCUUCCUUGUUCCAGUUAUAACAGGCUUUACCGUAGGUUGAUGUGACCCACUACUGACUAAAAGUGGCUCCCAGAAAGACCUCAUUAGCUCUGGAGCUAGCAUGGUGCAAGCAUCAGAGUGUGUAUUUAGUGCUGGAGCAGAAAGGAAGGGCAGGGACCAACAUGUUCAUCAGCUGUGGUGGGGUGUUAAUUCAGCUGCCUGGAGCUGCGAAACCAUCCUUCAAAGAUCAACAGUCUGUCUUGCAAACAAAGGCAGUGAAAAUACUAAUCAGUAAGGGUCUAUAAACUGUGGUUAACACUGUUGCUGCAAUUACUAAUGUAGGCAAAAACUGGAAGGUAAUGUUAUUCAGGUCUUUCUUCACUGCAGAUAUACCACUGAUAACAGAGUAAUAUGGAGUUGAAACAUAAUUGGAACACUAAGGAAAGCUUGAGCUAUUUAUAGUAUUUAAUAAUUUAAUAGUACAAAGUGCACUGAUUGUAGUACUAUUCAUUUUUCUAUGUAAUUUAAUUAUUACUUCUCUUUCUUAAUUAAUAAUACAAGAGUGUGUUUUUGUAUAACACUUCUUUUCCCUAAUUCUCAUUUUGCACCAGAAUUCAAUCAAGAUCUUCUUGUUGUUCAUAAAAAAUACGUACGUACCUGCAUACAACAUUCUGAAAAAUUGUUUGAGAUUCUACACAUUGUAAUUUGUGAGAUCCCUGUGAGAUUUAUAAAGGGGAUCUUAUCACUUAAUGUUUAUUCCAGGAUCUGUAAGAACCCUCUAAUGUUUUACGCUCUUAUUCUCACAACACUCAGGUAAAACAGGAAGUUUUAUUUCUCUGACUACAGCUGGGAUAUCAAAGCACAGAGAUGUUAAAGUCUGUAUUCAAAAACCAUAUUUAAGAGCAUGGAUCCCACUAGUUAACUUGCCUAGAGUGCUAAGAAAAGCCUUUGUGGAACAAGCACUGAACUUACAUCUGCCAAAUCCAAGAGGAUCUUCCUUACUACUGGACUUUGUUGUCUCACUAAGAUUGCAAUAAAUACUUCUUUCAUAGCUGGGGUUAGAGUACUUUGUUAAGUGUGAGGAAAGAUUUUUAUGAAGGGGAGUUUUGAAUGUAGGUCACAGGAGGGCAGAAAGAAUAUAAAAUAGCUGCUGAUGCACAUGAUAGCUUUUAUGGCCAAGGAAAAUAAAAGCUGUAAUGUUUUGGAAAAAGAUAUUAUCCAUGAAAUCCAAAACAAACUUGAAUUAAGUCAGGAGAGAAUAGGCAUUCCUCUGGAAAGAUAAAGGAGUUACUCCAUAGAUUAGCUUAUCAUUGCUCUAGAACAAGUUGUUGCUGUUACUUAGAAAGCUAGUAUGGUGACAGUCUGUGCACCUAUUUGAAAUGUAUAACAUGGAAAAAAAUAAAAUAAUCCAUUUAAGGUUAAGUAUAAAAUGUGAAGAAAUAGGAUGUUGUUAUCUUUGUGUUAUGGGCUUGCUUUUCUCUAUUGUGUUAAAAUAUGUGUGUUUCAGAUAAUUUAUGAAUCUAAUCAUGACUCUAAGUUUUGUAGCGCUAUUUUAUAUGAAAUCAAUUUGGUGGAGAUAUUUAGAAGGGACCUGCAUGCAUUUUUUGUGGCUAAGAAAGCAAAGUUUAAAUGGAAGUGUGUAAAGUGAGGAACAAAUAUUUUCCAAAGGAAUUUGCUCUAACAUGAAAGAAAUUCUUGGUGGAACCUCUGAUUUCCUAUGCUUGCUGUAGGAGACCAGCCUAAACGGGAAAAAAGGUGAAUUCCUAAUAGAUGACAUAGACAGAAUAUGCUUUAUUCAGAUAUGCCUUGUUCUGGGAGUUUUAAGUAUCAUAGCUACUUAGGACUUUAGAUCUGUGCAUGAUCUUCCCCAGCCCUAUAUGUGGUAUGCAGAAACACGCAUAGAUAUGUUGACAUCGCUUCUUGAGGAUGGUCCGAAGGUUGACUUCAGGGUCCUCUCUCAGAAAUGCUGUCCAUUGGUAGCCCACAGAAUUUGUCAGAAUUACAGAAUCACAGAAUAUGCCAAGUUGGAAGGGACUCACAA
Molecule: long non-coding RNA, 2865 nt
Organism: Neopelma chrysocephalum (saffron-crested tyrant-manakin)
Lineage: Eukaryota; Metazoa; Chordata; Aves; Passeriformes; Pipridae
Exons: 3
Source: RefSeq, a predicted model, not a curated record